UGGGGAAUAUUGCACAAUGGGCGCAAGCCUGAUGCAGCCAUGCCGCGUGUAUGAAGAAGGCCUUCGGGUUGUAAAGUACUUUCAGUCGGGAGGAAGGUGGUAAGGUUAAUAACCUUAUCAAUUGACGUUACCGACAGAAGAAGCACCGGCUAACUCCGUGCCAGCAGCCGCGGUAAUACGGAGGGUGCAAGCGUUACUCGGAAUUACUGGGCGUAAAGCGCACGCAGGCGGUUGAUUGAGUCAGAUGUGAAAUCCCCGGGCUUAACCCGGGAAUUGCAUCUGAUACUGGUCAGCUAGAGUCUUUUAGAGGGGGGUAGAAUUCCAUGUGUAGCGGUGAAAUGCGUAGAGAUGUGGAGGAAUACCGGUGGCGAAGGCGGCCCCCUGGACAAAGACUGACGCUCAGGUGCGAAAGCGUGGGGAGCAAACAGG
Molecule: ribosomal RNA, 429 nt
Filed under: Chloroflexota bacterium
Lineage: Bacteria; Bacillati; Chloroflexota
Description: Chloroflexi bacterium partial 16S ribosomal RNA
Rfam family: Bacterial small subunit ribosomal RNA
Source: RNAcentral